RNAcentral lists this ribosomal RNA (319 nucleotides) under uncultured Desulfobulbus sp. RNAcentral describes it as "bacterial SSU rRNA". It matches the Rfam family "Bacterial small subunit ribosomal RNA", at positions 1064 to 1382 of the family's 1533-position model. Lineage: Bacteria; Pseudomonadati; Thermodesulfobacteriota; Desulfobulbia; Desulfobulbales; Desulfobulbaceae. The record is from RNAcentral.
GUCGUGAGAUGUUCGGGUUAAGUCCCGCAACGAGCGCAACCCUUGCCUUUAGUUGCCAGCAGUUCGGCUGGGCACUCUAAAGGGACUGCCGGUGUUAAACCGGAGGAAGGUGGGGAUGACGUCAAGUCCUCAUGGCCUUUAUGACCAGGGCUACACACGUACUACAAUGGCCGAUACAAAGGGCAGCGACACUGCGAGGUGAAGCCAAUCCCGUAAAAUCGGUCUCAGUCCGGAUUGAAGUCUGCAACUCGACUUCAUGAAGUCGGAAUCGCUAGUAAUCGCGGAUCAGAACGCCGCGGUGAAUACGUUCCCGGGCCUU